AUUCCAAUCGAACUCGGAGAUAGCUGGUUCUCCCCGAAAUAGCUUUAGGGCUAGCGUUAUGUUAGAUUACCGGAGGUAAAGCACUGAAUGGGCUAGGGGGCGAUAAGCUUACUGAACCCUAUCAAACUCUGAAUGCCGGCUAAUUGAUGAUCAGCAGUCAGACAGUGUGAGAUAAGUUUCAUUGUCAAAAGGGAAACAGCCCAGACCUACAGCUAAGGUCCCAAAUGUAUGCUAAGUGGAAAACGAUGUGGAGUUGCGAAAACAACCAGGAUGUUGGCUUAGAAGCAGCCACUCAUUAAAAGAGUGCGUAAUAGCUCACUGGUCGAGUGACUCUGCGCCGAAAAUUUAACGGGGCUAAAUCGUACACCGAAGCUUGGGAAUAUCAGUUAUUCUUCAUGGACUUGCAAGGAAAGAGACCAUGGCACGAAGUGCCAUCAAAUUGUCCAUAAGGAUAAAGCGAGCUUGUGAAGAAUAACUGAUAUUGGUAGGAGAGCGUUGAAUGCGGGGUGAAGUCAGAGCGAAAGCGCUGGUGGACUGCAUUGAAGUGAGAAUGCCGGAAUGAGUAGCGAGAUUUAUGUGAGAAUCAUAAAGGCCGAAAGACUAAGGUUUCAGAAGGAAGGUUCGUCCGCUUCUGGUUAGCCGGGAGCUAAGGUGAGGCCGAAAGGCGUAGCCGAUGCACAUACGGUGGAGAUUCCGUAGCCGUCGAAAUAUUUAAGCAAAGGGACACUUAUGAAGGACAUGACCCGGGCGAUGGUAGCCCCGGGCGUAAGGGACUGAAAACAAGUAAGGAAGCAUGUUUGGAUUAAGGCGAGAAAAGCUUUGUGUAUAUAUGAGACGUCCGUACCGCAAACCGACACAGGUAGUCAGGAAGAGGAUUCUAAGGCCAACGGGAGAAGGGUAGUUAAGGAACUCGGCAAAUUGACCCCGUAACUUCGGGAUAAGGGGCGGUGCGUAAGCACCCGCAGUGAAUAGGUCCAGGCGACUGUUUAUCAAAAACACAGCUCUCUGCUAAAUCGAAAGAUGACGUAUAGGGGGUGACACCUGCCCGGUGCUGGAAGGUUAAGAGGAGGAGUGCAAGCUCCGAAUUGAAGCCCCAGUAAACGGCGGCCGUAACUAUAACGGUCCUAAGGUAGCGAAAUUCCUUGUCGGGUAAGUUCCGACCCGCACGAAUGGUGUAACGAUCUGGACGCUGUCUCAACUGCCCACCCGGCGAAAUUGUAGUACCGGUGAAGAUGCCGGUUACCCGCGGCAAGACGGAAAGACCCCAUGGAGCUUUACUGUAACUUGAUAUUGGGUCUUGGUAUUCUAUGUACAGGAUAGGCGGGAGACUAUGAAACAUACACGCCAGUGUAUGCGGAGUCACCCUUGGGAUACCGCUCUUAGAGUACUGAGAUUCUAACCUGCGGCCGUGAAUCCGGUCGGGGGACAUUGUCAGGUGGGCAGUUUGACUGGGGCGGUCGCCUCCUAAAAGGUAACGGAGGCGCUCAAAGGUUAGCUCAGCACGGUCGGAAACCGUGCCUCUGAGUGCAAACGCAAAAGCUAGCCUAACUGCGAGGCUGACGGGCCGAGCAGUAACGAAAGUUGGAGUUAGUGAUCCGGCGGUAUGUGAAUGGAAAUGCCGUCGCUCAACGGAUAAAAGCUACCCUGGGGAUAACAGGCUGAUCUCCCCCAAGAGUCCACAUCGACGGGGAGGUU
Molecule: ribosomal RNA, 1695 nt
Filed under: human gut metagenome
Description: bacterial LSU rRNA
Rfam family: Bacterial large subunit ribosomal RNA
Source: RNAcentral